RNAcentral lists this ribosomal RNA (253 nucleotides) under uncultured bacterium. Its description in RNAcentral is "partial 16S ribosomal RNA". It matches the Rfam family "Bacterial small subunit ribosomal RNA", at positions 524 to 776 of the family's 1533-position model. The record is from RNAcentral.
UACGUAGGGAGCAAGCGUUACUCGGAAUUACUGGGCGUAAAGGGCGCGUAGGCGGCAAUUCAAGUCAGCUGUGAAAUCUCCGGGCUUAACCCGGAAAGGGCAGAUGAUACUGCUUUGCUAGAGUGCGGAAGGGGCAAGCGGAAUUCUUGGUGUAGCGGUGAAAUGCGUAGAUAUCAAGAGGAACACCGGAGGCGAAGACGGCUUGCUGGGCUGACACUGACGCUGAAGCGCGAAAGCCAGGGGAGCAAACGGG